Long non-coding RNA from Bombus pyrosoma, 1106 nucleotides. RefSeq lists it as uncharacterized. The record is from RefSeq and is a predicted model, not a curated record. The transcript has 3 exons. Lineage: Eukaryota; Metazoa; Arthropoda; Insecta; Hymenoptera; Apidae.
AUAUUAUAUAGUAGUAAGGUAUAUAGUAUAUGUUAUAUAGUAUUAUAUAUAUAGUAUGUUAAGUUUAUUCGAAAAUAUUAGAAUAGUUUAUUGGACAUCGAUCCGAACUCUACGUAGUUCAUGACGGUGUCUCGGCAGUCUGACGAGCGCAUGUUCCACGGUUGCAGAGCUUUUCGUUAAUCGGAGCUGUGUAAGAUAUUUUGUGUAUCUGGAAAUUUAACGCAAAGUUAUAGCUUAUCGCAUCGGUUUGUUUAUGCUUUAUAUAAAUUGCCCUACGCGCAUGGAUGGACGAUGCAUCUGGAGAAGUGGACUGUGACGAAUAACAACGAACAGCAGGAGGAUUAACAAGAGGAAGAAGGAGAAGAGCGUUUAAUCGCUGACAAUGAGAAAAUGUAUUAUCUCGUUGGUUGCGUGCGAGCGUAGGAGGAGAAGUGUGAAACGAGGGGAGGGCAGGAAGUAGUAGCUCGUAAAUGUGUAAAUAAGAUGUGUAAAAAAAAAAGUGUCUGUUAAUGUGAAACGUUUUGCGUGAAGCAGAUAAUAAUAAGAGCGUAAAAAUAUAGGGUGAAAAUACGAGGUGUGUAAUAAAGAUGCGUAAAUAAAACAAACGCGUUUCUAACUUGGGUGUGUGAAAGGUGGAGCAGGGAAGGCAAUAGCGAUUUUGAUUCAGCAUGGGAAUUUAACAAAACAUGGGUUAAUUUUGUUAGAAAAUUGUAAAAUAUGUAAAAAUAUUGUAGACGUUAGAUGCGUGAAAGUUGAAAAAAGUAGGAAAAGAAGGAAAAGAGGUAAUACGUAAGGCAACAUAAUUUUCUGGAUGGCAAAAGAAUGGAUUUGUUUGGAUUCUAGGAGACUAAAGAAUAGAUAAAGAUACAUUUAGGGGAUAUGUGUGCCUUGUUUAUUCGACCAUCAACCAUAAAUUGUGAAAGUAGGCUUUAAAAAGAUAAAUGACAGAUAGAAUAGCUUUCAAAGGUUAAGAAAGGUAGUAAUUAUAUCUGGAAAUAUAUUAAUAAGGAAUAACAUGAUUGCAAUUUUGUAAUUAUACAGAUAAUAUAUGGAAAAUGAUUAACGUUAAACGACUUCCAUCUAAAGGAGUGAAAGGUAUUAGAAAU